RNAcentral lists this ribosomal RNA (947 nucleotides) under uncultured bacterium. Its description in RNAcentral is "bacterial SSU rRNA". It matches the Rfam family "Bacterial small subunit ribosomal RNA", at positions 523 to 1482 of the family's 1533-position model. The record is from RNAcentral.
AUACGGAGGAUCCGAGCGUUAUCCGGAUUUAUUGGGUUUAAAGGGAGCGUAGGUGGACUGGUAAGUCAGUUGUGAAAGUUUGCGGCUCAACCGUAAAAUUGCAGUUGAUACUGUCAGUCUUGAGUACAGUAGAGGUGGGCGGAAUUCGUGGUGUAGCGGUGAAAUGCUUAGAUAUCACGAAGAACUCCGAUUGCGAAGGCAGCUCACUGGACUGCAACUGACACUGAUGCUCGAAAGUGUGGGUAUCAAACAGGAUUAGAUACCCUGGUAGUCCACACAGUAAACGAUGAAUACUCGCUGUUUGCGAUAUACAGUAAGCGGCCAAGCGAAAGCAUUAAGUAUUCCACCUGGGGAGUACGCCGGCAACGGUGAAACUCAAAGGAAUUGACGGGGGCCCGCACAAGCGGAGGAACAUGUGGUUUAAUUCGAUGAUACGCGAGGAACCUUACCCGGGCUUAAAUUGCAGUGGAAUGAUGUGGAAACAUGUCAGUGAGCAAUCACCGCUGUGAAGGUGCUGCAUGGUUGUCGUCAGCUCGUGCCGUGAGGUGUCGGCUUAAGUGCCAUAACGAGCGCAACCCUUAUCUUCAGUUACUAACAGGUCAUGCUGAGGACUCUGGAGAGACUGCCGUCGUAAGAUGUGAGGAAGGUGGGGAUGACGUCAAAUCAGCACGGCCCUUACGUCCGGGGCUACACACGUGUUACAAUGGGGGGUACAGAAGGCAGCUAGCGGGUGACCGUAUGCUAAUCCCAAAAGCCUCUCUCAGUUCGGAUCGAAGUCUGCAACCCGACUUCGUGAAGCUGGAUUCGCUAGUAAUCGCGCAUCAGCCACGGCGCGGUGAAUACGUUCCCGGGCCUUGUACACACCGCCCGUCAAGCCAUGGGAGCCGGGGGUACCUGAAGUACGUAACCGCAAGGACCGUCCUAGGGUAAAACUGGUGACUGGGGCU